GCCGGUGUAGCUCAGUUGGUAGAGCAUCUGAUUUGUAAUCAGAGGGUCGUAGGUUCAAGUCCUAUCUCCGGCUCCA
RNAcentral lists this transfer RNA (76 nucleotides) under Methylophaga thalassica. RNAcentral's name for it is "tRNA-Thr". It matches the Rfam family "tRNA". Rfam says of the family: Transfer RNA (tRNA) molecules are approximately 80 nucleotides in length. Their secondary structure includes four short double-helical elements and three loops (D, anti-codon, and T loops). The record is from RNAcentral. RNAcentral also lists the same sequence under 4 other names. Lineage: Bacteria; Pseudomonadati; Pseudomonadota; Gammaproteobacteria; Thiotrichales; Piscirickettsiaceae.